AACGAACGCUGGCGGCAGGCCUAACACAUGCAAGUCGAGCGCGCCCUUCGGGGUGAGCGGCGGACGGGUUAGUAACGCGUGGGAAUAUACCCGACACUAAGGAAUAGCCUCUGGAAACGGAGAGUAAUACCUUAUACGCCCUUCGGGGGAAAGAUUUAUCGGUGACGGAUUAGCCCGCGUUAGAUUAGAUAGUUGGUGGGGUAAUGGCCUACCAAGUCUACGAUCUAUAGCUGGUUUUAGAGGAUGAUCAGCAACACUGGGACUGAGACACGGCCCAGACUCCUACGGGAGGCAGCAGUGGGGAAUCUUGGACAAUGGGCGCAAGCCUGAUCCAGCCAUGCCGCGUGAGUGAUGAAGGCCUUAGGGUCGUAAAGCUCUUUCGCCAGAGAUGAUAAUGACAGUAUCUGGUAAAGAACCCCCGGCUAAACUCCGUGCCAGCCGCCGCGGUAAUU
RNAcentral lists this ribosomal RNA (452 nucleotides) under uncultured bacterium. Its description in RNAcentral is "bacterial SSU rRNA". It matches the Rfam family "Bacterial small subunit ribosomal RNA", at positions 29 to 525 of the family's 1533-position model. The record is from RNAcentral.